Coturnix japonica (Japanese quail) is the source of this 7022-nucleotide RNA transcript. It is a transcript of the gene named RecQ like helicase 5, with no coding region annotated. The record is from RefSeq and is a predicted model, not a curated record. Lineage: Eukaryota; Metazoa; Chordata; Aves; Galliformes; Phasianidae.
CGCGGUUUCUGACGUCAUCAAACGGCGCCACAACGGUGCCUGGCUGGACCCUGAAGGAGCGUAGAGUGGGGGCCGGGCUUCUCCGAGAUGAGCAGCACGGCAGCCCCAGGCCUGCAGGGCAGGGUCCGGAAAACUCUGGGAAAGGUCUUCGGGUUUGAGUCCUUCAAGACUUCCCUGCAGGAAAGUGCAACCAUGGCUGUGGUGAGAGGUGAGAAGGAUGUCUUUGUAUGCAUGCCCACAGGGGCGGGGAAAUCCUUGUGCUACCAGCUUCCUGCAGUUCUGGCAGUGGGCAUCACCAUUGUCAUUUCACCUCUGAUUGCACUGAUUCAGGACCAAGUGGACCAUUUGCUGGCUCUGAAGAUCAAAGCCUGCUCUCUGAACUCUAAGCUUUCUGCCCAGGAAAAGAAGACCAUUCUGGCUGACUUAGCAAGUGAGAAGCCUCAGAUAAAGCUUCUGUACAUCACCCCAGAGAUGGCAGCUGCCUCAUCCUUCCAGCCUACACUCAACUCCCUAGUGUCUCGGAAUCUCCUGUCCUACCUAAUAAUUGAUGAAGCUCAUUGUGUCUCCCAGUGGGGACAUGAUUUCCGACCAGACUACCUACGGCUGGGCACCUUGCGUACUCGCAUACCCAAUACACCAUGUGUUGCUUUGACUGCCACUGCUACCAAGCAAGUCCAGGAGGAUAUUGUGGCAGCACUUAAGCUAAAGCAGCCACUUGCCACCUUUAAGACUCCUUGCUUCAGAUCUAACUUGUUCUACGAUGUGCAAUUCAAAGAGCUCUUGACUGAUCCUUAUGCAAACUUGAAGGACUUCUGUCUGAAGGCACUGGAAGUGAAGAACACCACUGGGGUGUACUCUGGCUGUGGCAUUGUGUACUGCAGGAUGAGGGAUGUUUGUGACCAGCUGGCUAUUGAAUUGAGCUACCGAGGAGUGAAAGCCAAAGCGUAUCAUGCAGGGCUCAAGGCAGCUGACAGGACUUCAGUCCAGAAUGAAUGGAUGGAGGAGAAGAUCCCAGUUAUUGUUGCGACCAUCAGUUUUGGAAUGGGAGUAGACAAAGCAAAUGUCAGGUUUGUUGCUCAUUGGAACAUCGCCAAGUCAAUGGCAGGGUAUUACCAGGAGUCUGGCAGAGCUGGGCGAGAUGGGAAGCCCUCCUGCUGCCGCCUCUAUUACUCUAGGAAUGACCGGGAUCAAGUUAGCUUCCUGAUUAAGAAGGAGCUGUCUAAAAUCCAGGAAAAAAAAGGCACCUUAAAAGAAUCUGACAAGGCUGCAAUGACAGCUUUUGAUGCCAUUGUAAGCUUCUGCGAGGAGCUGGGGUGUCGUCACGCUGCCAUAGCAAAGUACUUUGGUGAUGUCACUCCACCUUGCAAUAAGUGCUGUGAUUACUGCAGGAACCCAGAGGCAGUGAAAAGGCAGCUGGAGGCUCUGGAGCGCUGCAGCAACAACUGGAGCAAAACUUGCAUUGGACCCACAGGAUCCUCCUGGGACAGCUACGACCCAGAGCUGUAUGAAGGCGGAAGGAGAGGCUGCAGAGGUUUUAGCAGCUAUGAUGAAGAAAGCAGCGGGAAUGGGGAUGAAGCCAAUGAAGAGAGUCGGAAACGGGAAUGGGACAAUUUCUACAAGAAACAGAUGAGCCUGCGCAGGGGCAAAGAACCAGAAAAAGAAGAUUUUGUUCCUCCAAGUGCAGACUGCCCCUUGAAGGAUGCCUCCAGCAGAAGAAUCUCUAAGCUUACAGUGAAGGGACGGGAGCACUGCUUGAAGAUACUGGAGGAAGCUUUGAGUGCCAACCAAGAGGUUCCAACAGCAGCAGGAAAAUGGUCAGACCCUCAUGCCUGUGCGGUGGAGCUGGAGUAUGAAGCUUUCAGAACCAGUAAAAUGGCUAACUCAUACAAGGCAUCUGUGCUAAAGAAGGUAGCAGAGAUCAACAAAGCAUCAAAAGAAGGAGAGUUGUUCUCAGUCUUUGGGUCAGGAACUGGAGGCAGCAGCAGCUCAGAAACAAAAUCUGAGUCUCCAGCAGAAGAGGAUUUCCUCCCUGCAUCCCAAGUUUACUCAUUCAAACCCAAGCGUGUGGGAGCUGGCUUUCCAAAGAAGUCCGGCUUGUUCCAAACAGCUUCAGAACUGCUGAAGAUCCAGGAAGAUAGCGAUACAAAACCUGUCAAAAAAGAAGAUUGUCCAAAUAAACAUGACAACAACAACUGCAAUCUGGAACUGGACACAAAACCCACUGUUCUCCAGAAAAAAAAACAAGCAACCAAAGCAGUGUGUGAGAGUGCUGAGGUGGUAGUAGUCCUUCCUGAGAAGAAGGAGCAGCAAAGCAGUCCAGACACAAAAGCUGCCCUUGGGGAUAGCCCUGUUAAGAGGACUAAACUCAGCAAAAAGCAGCAAAUGCUGGCAGAAGCGGCCAAAAAAGAGUCACAGGAUAUUUCCAAGUUCUUCUCCCUUUCCAAAGGUGGAUCUAAAGCCAAAAGUUGCAGCUCAACAGAGGAAGUCAGCUGUACUGCAAGCAUACUACCUCAGGUUUCUUCUCAAAGCAUAUGUCAAGAGAAAUCAAUACCUCAGGAAAACAAAGAUGCCUCUGGGGAUGUGACAGGACAGUCCCAUGAGGAGAAUGAGGAGCUGGGAGAGAUGGAAGGAGCACAGACUGAGAGGGAGGAGGUCUGUAAGACCCAGCAGGCUGCUGAAACUAAACCCCUUCAGGAAGAACUUGAUGUAUUAAGUGUUGCUGAAGGUGUCACAGAAAAUGAACAUGCUGUUGUUGGGGAAGGUCAGAGUGGGAAGCGACAAGGAUCAGAUGAGGAUACAGAAAAUCCUACAACAAAGCGGAUGCGAACAGCAGCAAAAUCUUCCAUUCUGACCCAGCCAGAAAGCAAAAGUGCAGGUCUGACAAAGAAGAAGGUGACUUUUGAUCCAAACUUAUUGCAGAGUGAUAAAGAAGGAGCCAGCAAGACCAUACAGCCUGUGACCAAAAGCAUGUCCCUCAAAGAAAUAGCAGACAUCGUUGUUAAAUAUUUGACCCCAUUCUACAAGGGUGGCAAAUUUGCUUCCAAGGACCUGUUUAAGGGCUUUGCUCGGCACCUGUCUCACUUACUGACUGAAGAUCAGAACCCUGCUCGCAAGACUGUGAAGGAAGAAGCACAGAGGCUCAUUAAGGAGUUUUUCAAAACACGAGUCAGAUGUGAGAGUGAAACAGACUGGCAGGAGCUGCACUGCUCAGAGGGGUGAUCCUUGCAUCGUGCUGGCUCUCUUCCUUCUUCCAGCAAUGGGACCAGGGGAUGUUGAGGAACUUAGCCAUGGAGCGUGUCAAGAAAAUGCAGAAAGCAACAAACAGACAUGCAGCCUGAAUAUCAAUUAAAGCACAACUCAUACAGGACUAGAAGAGUCUUCCGUAGACUUUUACCACGAGGUGGGAUUUGUGCUAUGAUCAUCAUGCUUGGAAGCUUGUGCCAGUCUGCAGAGGAAGGCUGUCAAGGAGUUCUGUAUUAUGGACCAUUCCAGACUGCAGAGAUCUUUGCCAGCCCCACAGAGCAGCUUCCAUCACUAUGAGUGGACUAUUCAGGCAGAUCUCAUAUGUCUCCUCACCUAUGAACUGGAUUUUUGCAUCCACUGGCCGGAGUGGCUGCAUGGUUCUCAGCAGCCUGUCAAGGUGGUUCUGCAGAGUCUCAGUGCUGAUUACGGACUGCAAGGGCUUGGGUAUGUAUUCCUUCAGCUCUUCCCUGUGCCAAAAAGCAGAGAGGAUGAAACAUCAUAUUUCCACAGAGAAGAAAGCUGUGCCUAAAAUCCCUCCUUCCCGGAGACAACAGGAGCUCUUCAUGCAAGAACUGAAGCGUGGAAGUAGAGUUAUAGAGCGUUUCUUUCACAGGGUGUUUUAUGAAAAACAUUUCACUGUCUUGAUCCUCUGCUGCAGACACUACACAGAGUUGCCCACACCCAGCAGUUUCACUGUUACUCCUGCUGCUGGAGCUGUAAGGGGGUUUGAUGGAGGUAUUACCUCCAUUACCUCCAUCUCAGUUACAAGGACAGCUGUGAGCUCAUACACUUUCUUCUUGGUACCUAAGGAAAUGUAUGUGGCACCCUCAUGGCCCUGAGCACAGGAGAAGUCACAAAAGGAACUGAGUCAGAGAUGGUCACCAUCAGGAGCGUGAUUGGGAAGUAAUCUUUCUUGGUUACAGGCAGAAGUCAGUCACUGAUGUUAAUUAAUGGCUUAUCUUCUCCAGGACUGUCCAUUCCUUCAUUAUCUAGAUAAUACUUUCAGUCAUCUCCCUGAGAUAAGCAUACCUGGAGGGAGCAGAGCUCUCCUGCUCUGUUUUGGCCCAAUGCUGAAGCAUAGCCAAAACACCCAGCUGCAUCUCCAUUUCUUUACUGUAGCUCAGCAAUAUCUUCCCUUUCAGGUAGUCCCAUUGUAUCUGAAAGCACCAGAAAGAGGUCCAGGCAGAUCUGGGCAGUGCAAGACUGCAGAGACCCACAUCCUGCCUUGCAGAGAGCUCAUGCUGAUCACUCGAAAGCAAAGGCUUGCAUUUGGGAAAAGCAUGCACAAACCGUGUCUGGAGCAUUACAGCCCAUAGGCUAGUGCUCACUAGCAUCAUUUAUUAGUCAUGCCCAGAAAGAGCAUCCAGAGCCAAUCAGCCAAAGUCCUCCCACUUCUUCUGCUCCCUUGGAACAUCCGCACUGACUCUCACAUUAACUACUCCCACUGUCCUCAUUGCUUACCUGGCCAUAAUGGACAUCAGUAUAGAUUUUGUCCUCAAAGUGCAGAGGUGUCUUCCAGAUAAGCCUGCGUAAACUCACGGUGACCAACAUGUCCUCGAGCAAGUAGUCAUGAAGGUAUUCAUCCAUCCUUAUUGGCCUCACAAUUUUAUCUACAUAUUUAUGCAGAGAAAGAGUCAUCAGUCUUGGUGCUGGGACAGCAGGUUGAGCUCCACAGUCUUACAAGGAGCCAUCCUGCACACCUCUGUGUCACCCUGCCCUUAACAGCUCCCAGCAUCAGCCAUACCAAUGGGGCACAGCCCCUAUGCAGCACACACCGCUUUCAGGAAGGAGCAAGAGCAGGACAUUAUUUGAAACAGUCCCUAUUGGAGAAAAUGCUUUAAGGAAGAAGUGAGGCUUCGUCUGUGUGUACUUGCCAUCUUUAUCACUGGUGCUCCUGAUGGCAAAGAGAGCAAAUUCCUGCAUCUCUUCCUGCUCGCCUGCCCCCAUCUGCUCACAAAUCUCCUGCAAGAGCUCCUUGGCCACCUGAAGUGAGGAAAGAAGCAAGUAAAUACUGCAGCAAGGCAAGUUCAGUUCAACACCAGAAUAGGAGGAGGGCAAGCAGUACAGCUCUGGACAAGGCAUAGAGAAGCAGGCUGGAUACAGGAGCUCCCUGUUGUGGCUCUGAGACCAGACCAAUGGAGAAAUGUAAGGCAGAAAACUCACAGUGAACGUCCUGAUGCGGGUGACGUAUUCCACACCCCCAAACAUCAGCACCUCCAGCCGGCGGGCACUGCGCCCCUUCUGCAAAGGACAGUGAACACAGGAGCCCAUCAACCCCCUGCCCUUCCUCCCUCCCUUCCCAGCAUCCCAACCCCUUGCCCAUCACUACCAGCAGUGCCUCCAUCUCCACGGGGAAAGGAAGGUGACGACGGCCCCCGUACAUGACAUUUUUCCGCAGGUUGCUCUGACAAUUCUUGGCUAUAUCUGUAGGAAAAGAGAAAAAGCUUCGUGGGUUUAGAGCUUAGCAUUGUCUCCUAUAGUUUUGAGUCCUCCUGGCUAUGUUGUAUUUAAUCCAGCACUGAUGCUAGGAAAAGGAUGGGGAAACUGUUUCCCCAUCUGGAUCCUUCCUCCUUUCCUUGACCACAGGGCCUUAGUAAACCCAGGGCAGCCAUUUGUUUCACAGGACACAGACAGUCGUACCAUGAUGGGUGCUGGAUGGGUCACUGCUGGCUUGUUGCAGAAACUUGGUGGCAUAGGGCAUCAGGAUGUUAGAAGGCAGGAAGAACCCAGUGAGCAGGCUUAGGAGCAGCCAUCCCCGCAGUACGCUCUCCCUGUGGGAUAGAAAGAACUGUGGAAUGAGACAAUUCCUGGUCCACCCCAUCUGGAAAUGAACCUCUGCCCUUCUGAACACCAACAGGAGGUGGCAGUGAACAUGAGGUGGUGGCCCUUGGUCAGUGUUCUUAUGGUGAGGGAGGGAUUGAUUCAGCUGUUUGAGUAAGAAAGAAAGGAGAAUGUAAAGGCAGCUGGGGACAACACACCAUGAAGGGACACCCUCCCACCACCCCAUGCAUGCAGCAGAGCACACAGUUCCCCUCCAUCCAUGCAUGAAUGGGAACCAACUGUGCUGCUACUCACUGGUUGGGGUUGAGAGUGACCUGUUUGAUGACCUGGCAGUAAAUUUCAUCAUGCAGACUCUCCUUCUCCUUGCACAGCUGCAUUCAGAGAGGAGAAGACAGCAUUAGAAAGGGGGUGAGAACAUCAGAGAGGUUCCAGCUCAUCUCCAUGCCCUUCCUCUCCCAGCUCUUGAGUAUUGCCAGGAAAUCCCAGGCUCCCAAUACAGCUUAGAGCUCAGGUUCCACAACCUCUGCUCUGCAGUGCUAUAUAGGCCCAAAGAAGAAGGCAGGUUGUACUCUCACCCAGACUGUGAUUUACAAGUGCAGGUAGGUACACACCCUCUUUUUAAUUGGCCUCUGUUUCAGUUCCUUUCCUCACACAGGGCUCUGCAUUAUGGCUUUCCCUGUUCUCCCUUUCAUGAAAGGCCUUGGGCUCUCAUUCCCCCUGCUGCUUCAGCACUUUGCCCAGGGGAAGGUCACAAACCUGAAGGAUUUCGUAGACGCACUGAGCAUCAUCCUGGUUCUUGAGUUUUGGCUGAUCUUUCAUGAACCGCAUCAGAGCUGCAAAGCAAAGGGUAAUACUUGGAUGUAGGCAGCACUGGACAAGUGGUUCAUGAGCCCAGGCAGUGUGGGUUCUUGGACACUUUGCACUCAAGGCAAAGAACAAUUUGUUGGAUGCUUUCAGCAAUGACAGUGAUAGUUAUUAAAGGCAGAAGUGCCCGCUUA